AUUGAACGCUGGCGGCAUGCCUAACACAUGCAAGUCGAGCGGCUGAAGGGUGCUUGCUCCUGGAUUCAGCGGCGGACGGGUGAGUAAUGCCUAUGAAUCUGCCUGGUCGCGGGGGAUAACGUCCGGAAGCGGGCGCUAAUACCGCAUACGUCCUGAGGGAGAAAGUGGGGGAUCUUCGGACCUCACGCUAUCAGAUGAGCCUAGGUCGGAUUAGCUAGUUGGUGGGGUAAAGGCCUACCAAGGCGACGAUCCGUAACUGGUCUGAGAGGAUGAUCAGUCACACUGGAACUGAGACACGGCCCAGACUCCUACGGGAGGCAGCAGUGGGGAAUAUUGGACAAUGGGCGAAAGCCUGAUCCAGCCAUGCCGCGUGUGUGAAGAAGGUCUUCGGAUUGUAAAGCACUUUAAGUUGGGAGGAAGGGCAGUAAGUUAAUACCUUGCUGUGUUGACGGUACCGACAGAAUAAGCACCGGCUAACUUCGUG
RNAcentral lists this ribosomal RNA (484 nucleotides) under uncultured bacterium. Its description in RNAcentral is "partial 16S ribosomal RNA". It matches the Rfam family "Bacterial small subunit ribosomal RNA", at positions 30 to 507 of the family's 1533-position model. The record is from RNAcentral.